UACAGAGGGGGCAAGCGUUGUUCGGAAUUACUGGGCGUAAAGGGCGCGUAGGCGGCCUGUUAAGUCGAACGUGAAAUCCCCGGGCUCAACCCGGGAACUGCGUCCGAUACUGGCAGGCUUGAAUCCGGGAGAGGGAUGUGGAAUUCCAGGUGUAGCGGUGAAAUGCGUAGAUAUCUGGAGGAACACCGGUGGCGAAGGCGGCAUCCUGGACCGGUAUUGGCGCUGAGGCGCGAAAGCCAGGGGAGCAAACGGG
This 253-nucleotide ribosomal RNA is filed under the name uncultured bacterium. RNAcentral's name for it is "partial 16S ribosomal RNA". It matches the Rfam family "Bacterial small subunit ribosomal RNA", at positions 524 to 776 of the family's 1533-position model. The record is from RNAcentral.